RNAcentral lists this long non-coding RNA (34558 nucleotides) under Malus domestica (apple). Its description in RNAcentral is "long non-coding RNA (MDOM_LNC002373)". The record is from RNAcentral. Lineage: Eukaryota; Viridiplantae; Streptophyta; Magnoliopsida; Rosales; Rosaceae.
AUCCUUGUAAGGAUCCAGUAGAAUGAAGUCGAGAAGUUCAUAGGGUCCAAAUAGGUCACUGCGAGGAAUUGCCCAUGAUGCGAACAUAUUCAUGAUUUUUUUAACUUCAGUUCUAUUGAAAGUAUGGGAAUUAUUGGCAUUAUCAACAUAUACAGGAAAAAGCUUCAGAGAUAUUCUCAGUCGAGGUCCAUUUUCCCAUACAAAUGAAGUAAUGUCCAGCUGAUCGAGAUCUAAUUUGAUACCAGAAGUAAGAUACUGCUCAUAUGUACUUUCGUAAGGGCGAAAAUCUGUGAAUGCGGGACUUUUCAACCGAAUGUCAACAAUUAGAGGAGCAGCACAAAAACAAGCUACAGGAAUAUAUUCGAAAGCGGGUGGACAUGCUUGAUUCGGACAGUUGGCAGUGGAGUUAGUCGAAAUAUGACUGUCAUUUUCAUCAUCACUUUCUGUUCCGCAGAAGUUAACAAGGUUGCCAUUUGAGCAAACCGGAUUUCCCCGAAGCCUGAACAAUAAUAAUCAGAAGAGAAAGUUUAACGGAGUAUUUCAUUUCAGAUGCUGGAUAUUUGCAUAAGAACAACAUAACUUGCACUUAGAGAUACAUUAACAUAGAUCAAAGUCCAGAAGCAAACCAGACAGUGACAUUUUGCGGAAGUACAGUACUGCCGGUAAUAUUUGUAAGCUUAUUGUUCUGCAUCUCCCUACAAUAUCAGAAGCCACACUUCACUAAAAUUUCAAGAAGAUGCUAUAAAACAUAUUAGUAAAAAGAAAAGGAUGACCGGAAUAGGAAAUGGAAUAACAUUUCUAAACACCGGCAUCCUAACACUAGAGAGUGUAAAUUCACACACACAACAGAAGUAACAAUUUUUCUCACUCCAGUUCUUACAUGAUUAGUCUUUCUGUCUUGUUGAGUUUCCGGUUUUGCCAAAGCGUUGCUGGAAUGGAGCCGUUCAAUGAAUUGUUUGCUAUAGACCUGCCAUGCGGAAUAAACUCCCACUUUACUUCAUAACAUAGUUUUCAUUUUUGGCACUGCUACAACAUUUGAUAACAUCUUAAAGAGCAAAACUUCAAACUCUUGCUGUUCACAAAGUAAGAUAGAUGGAAGCUCGAAAACACCAAAAGAUCAGUUUGAAGUGGCUCACAAUCUCUGAAGAUUAGGAAGAUCUGAAAAGUUGCCAGGAAUUGUUCCGGUCAGAGUGUUGUUAGAUAAAUUGCUGCGCACAAAGUUCAUACGUCGAAUAUUAUACAUCCAUGUAAUCCUUUUAGAAUUGAUUAUACGAUCUUCAAAGCUUAACAAUGCUUUUCAGAGAACAUUUAACAAGAAACUGCUACUAAAUGUCAAAUAUAAUAUAUAUGGCAUAUCAUUUGCAAGGUAGAUAGUAUCUUACAUCGUCGUGAUGUUAUCAGAAAGUGUACCCUGAGGCAAGGAUCCGUUUAGCCGAUUUGAGCUUAGGUCUCUGAAAAUUGGUAUUAAUAAAUAACAAAUUGCAUAAGAUACUGUCGAAACAUAACGUAUACUGUAUUCUAAGAAUUUAGAAAAGCAAGAAAAUCAAAACAAAUAAUGGGGUAUGAAGUGAAACUUCUUGAAUGAACUUACAUAUAAGCAAGGCUUGGAAUCCUACUCAAAUCAGGAAUAGGCCCUUGUAAGCUGCAGUUCCUCAAACUCCUGAAAGAAACAACAAAAACACAGACAUUCAAUCUUGACAUGAUUCGUCGUGUUAAAUGCAGAGCAUACUUCUCGAUUGUCAUUCCAAACAACCAGGGCACAUCACCUAACGUGAUAUAAACAGCAACAGGAGAUGUUCCCUGCGCAGUGGUUCGACAUAUGUGUUUCCCAACAAAAACUAUGAUUCUCUCUGUUUUUUGCUAUGAUUAAUCACAAAUCUUUUGGCAUUACACCUCCAUAGUCGGGGCUUUACAUCUGAUGUAUGAAUUAUGAAUAAAUAGAGAUUCUAGUCCUUAGAUCACACACUUUACCUUUAAACCAACUAAAAGACAUAGAAUCAGAAGGAGCACUUACAACUUCAACAGUUUAGACAUGUCGCUAUACGAAUCUGGAAUUGUAGUCCCUUCAAAGUUGUUGUUGUCAAGUUGACUGCAAGACAAAUAAGAUGGUAAGGCUAAGAAACUCGACACGGCAUUGUUGUUAUAGAAAAGGAAAUUCUAAAGAAUUGUUCACCAACAGUGCGAAAAUUCAAGAAAGGAAAGGGUGAACAGAUAAUUAAGGUGCGAAUUUAUGUUCCAAAAGUAAGGAAACAUACAGUAUUAAUAAGCUUGGCAACUCCGAGAACUGCGGUGGAAGAUACCCAGAUAAGUUGUUGUUGUCAAGAAGACUGCAAUGAGUUCGAUACAUUUAUUCAACUCGAGGUGGCUAUACAGACACACAAAUGAAGAGGGUAAACUGAAACUAAUGAACCAAGUUGAAGAUUCUUAAUAUCGCUGGCGUUCUACUUACAAGUGAAUAAGCCUUGGUAAUCUGGAAAGCUCCGGUGGAAUUUGCCCGCUUAUUGAAUUGUUGUUCAUGUGACUGCUCAAAAGGGAAAAGAUACGAAACAUAAGGAAGAGAGGAAGUAUAACAAACACAAGAUAAUAUUACACUUUUUAAACUAAAGCAGCAUAAGAAAAACCCUUACAAAUGCCUUGUCUUGUUUAAAUUUGCAAACGAUAUAGGUAUUGAUCCCGAUAUUUGGUUCUCGUCAAUUUGUAAUCUGUCCAAUUUUGGAAGAUAACCAAGCUUUUCGGGCAAGGAACCUGAUAACUGGUUUCCAUUGAGGAGCCUGUAAACACGGAAUAUUAGAUAGAGAUUUAACCAAAUAUUGCCAAAAAUAUCCAAACAGCUUAACUUACAAAAGUUCCAAGGAUGUAAUAUUGCCUAUCUCCUUUGGUAUACUUCCACUUAUUUUGUUCCACAUAAAAUUCCUAUCAGAAGAAUUGAUGGAGGAAUGUCAUCAGAGGAGAGAUAAAAUCAUUCACCGGCAUAUUAGGGAGGAGAUUAACAAGUUUUCCGUAAUGCUGAGAUAACAUUGGCCAAGAAUUUAAAGCUUCUUUCAAGGUAUGUGGUGCCUUACAGUAUCUUCAUAUAAGAUAAGCGGCCGAGCUCUGGCGAUAAACUUCCUGACAGGUUCAUAUUUAGUAGUCGCCUGCAGUAAAGAAGAACAUGUCAUUAUAGCCAAACUCUACUCUAAAUUUAAAAGUUCAACAUGCUUCCGACGUAACAAAUAAACUUUUCAUGCAAGACAUUGAUCAUUACUUGAUUCCGUAAACCCUAGAUGACUACUGAUUGACGUUGGAACAGGAUCAAAUUAGCUGAUUUUCCUAUUUCAUUAAGAUAUUACUACGAAGUUCAUAAUGGAAUCACCUAUGAGCAGGGAAAUUUGCUCGUUAAGACCACUUGGAACCAGACACAUGGGAAUUAAAUCUCUCCACACACGGGGAACAAGAUGAGACGAGAAAAGGCAAGGGUCAAAGGGAAAAUAUAUCCAAAAAGUCAGCUGCUGCAAAGUACAGGUAAAAUUUGGAAAGAUUGAAACGUACAGUUCUUGAACAUGAAGAUAGCCAUCAUCUAAUGUUUUGUUGUAGCAAAACACUCCUGUCCAAUUUGCUGUGCAUGGGUCUCCUUGAUUCCAGUUGCUCAGAUUCUUGUUGGGAUCAACCAAACUUCCUUUGAUGGCUCGCAGCGCCGUCACUGCAAUUUAGCACAGUUGAUAACCUUACUUGAUUGACACAACCAGACUAAAUUUUUCAAAAGAGACCAACUAUGAGCAUAUCAGAAUUAAGCAACAAGGGAAUGUCAAAAAUCAUGCUAUACAUCAGAAAUGAGUCGAAAUUCACAAGAUUAUUAUUCGAGUGCAUGUAUGUACUGGAAGUGGACAUAGACCUCAAUCCGUCUAGAUGAAAGUAAACUAGAAAUCGGUCACUUAGUUUGUCAAUUGAAGUUACCGUGUCAGCACAUAAGGCAACCAUACACCUGAAUAUAAAAACUUCUAAACCGAACUCAUACCAUAAUAAAUGUAUUCAAGUAUUCCCUAUACUACAAUUUCCUGAAGAAAGCCAGUCAGAAUUCAAAGCUUCACGAAUCAUAAGCAAAAUCACCUUCUGCAGGGUCGGUGAUAUUAAGAUUUUGUGCUCCAGCGCGUAGCGGAGACCAGCACAGGAACGUGACGAAAACAAAUGCAUAUGUCCAAACUCUUGAUUGAUGCAUCCUGAGACCGCAAAAAUAACUACAGCUCUAAUUUACCCCUUGCAACACAACAGCAGAAAUUUAUGCAGAAUUGGAACAGUCCCCCUGAUAGCAAGCAUAAAAAAAAAAGAUUGCAAAUUGAAUCAGAAAGCAACCAAACAUAUUGAAAGCACAGCUUCAACACUACAAAGUGAACUGAUAUCUCAACUCUUCAAGCAAUUCAACACUAAAAGCAAUAACCUCCAACAACUUCAGAACAAAAUAUACGAGAAUCUAAAGUGAAAAUUCAUACGGCAGACAGCUUGGACACAAAAUAAAGAAAACCGAACUGCCAGAAACUCACAGAAACAUAGCAAAACGGAGAUAUUGAUACCAUGGACAAAUUCAAAGCUUUGAAAUUUAAAAACAAAUGAUGCAAAACGAGAUAAGCUUUUGGUUUUGGGUUGAAUUUUAUUUGAAUAUACUACCAACUGUGAGAAGAUUAAUAGCAUGAAAAUAAUAGAAGAAAAGUUGCCCGGGAGUUGGGCUUGGUAUUUUUCUGACCAGGUCCGCCUAAUGCUGGGUAGAUGACUGAAGUUGAUGGUGGCGAUGACUAUACAGCCCAUCCUUUUCCAUUUUUUAUGGCUUGGUAUUUAUUAUGGCGUUAACUAAUUAUCUGUCAUGAAUCAUGCUGAAAAAAGUCGCAUUCAAAUAAAAUGUUCACUAACUAUGAGGAAUCAGAUUCUCGUAAAAUUAGUUUGAUUAAAGAAAAUAAAGGAGAAACUUUUCGUUUUAGGUUAGGGGAGGAUUUUUGUGUUCACCUGGAGGACGAGUUCAUAUGUUUGCCUAUUCAACCAAGCAGUCCCUCUCGAUUGCAUGAUGGAUGAGCGUACAAAUACCGUCGUGUUAGGAGUGGACACAAGAAUCUUCCUCGAACUUUGGACAAUGUUCGAUUUGCCUUUGAAAUUUUCAAUUAGUUUUGAAUCUGCUAAACUUUCAAUUCGUGUCAAUAUCCUCCCAACUAUAAUUAAUGCACAAUUUUUAGUUAUUUCCAUUACAUAUGAUGAACAUAACUUUCAGUAAAUAUUAGGAAUUCUGAUAAUUGAGUUAUGAGAUAAAUUAAGAGGAACCGAAACUUACAUAUUUUCUACAAAUUCAAACGCUUUCGUUAUGCAAAAUGCACAAACAUAACCGUUAAUUUAACGGGAUAAUUGAUAAAGCUAAUGGUAGAGGAGCAUUAGCACGAACAAAAAAAAAGUUUAGGGAGUUUAGAACCGGAUUGAAAAUUAUAAGACAAAGUAAAACAAGUCCACUAAUUCACUAAUAUGGUUACAUAUAGAUUGACCAAGUUAGUCUUGUAUUCAUAUUCUGAAGUUUUUAUUUUAAUAUUUGAGUGAAUUGUAGCAAUGGUCCCUGAACUUUGAUCAAAUUGGAGCAAUGGUCCAUCAACUAAAAAUCCAUUACCAUUGGUCCCUCAACUUAUCAAAAUAUGUAGCUAUAGAGUCCUUUUCAUCAAUUUCUUCAAAAUUUUGUCAAAAUAAGUUAUGUUGAAAUAACCAUUUAUAUAAUUAGGGUCCCUCAACUCAUCAAAGUGUGUAAUUAUGGUCAUUUUCGUCAACUACAUCAAAAAUUUUGUCAAAACGAGUUAUGUUGGAAUGACCAUUGCUACAAUUGGGUUAAAGUUAAGAGACUAUUUCUCUAGUUGAAUUAAAGUUGAGGGACCAAUGGUAAUGGAUUUUUAGUUAAGGGAUCAUAGUUGCACGUUUUGAUAAGUUGAGGGACCAAUGGUAAUAGAUUUUUAGUUGAUGGACCAUUUCUCCGAUUGAGUUAAAGUUAAGGGACUAUAGCUACAAUUUACUCUUAAUAUUUGAGACCCUUACGAAGAUUGAAAUUAUCUCUUAAUUCUCUUAAUAAAAUUCAUUUCUCCUAAAAAUCUUCUUGUAACUUUUCACUGUAACGGGCCACCAACCACCACCUCCUCAUUACUACAAAAUGGUCUAAUAGUGUCAGUAGGUGGUGUCGGUUUAAUUUAAUAUAGUGACGGAUAAGACAGUUGCGACACUAACUGAACAUGAUGUCGGAUUUACUGUCGCUUAUAAGCGUCAUUAAGUACUAACCGACAUAAACAUACAUUUUAAUAUUUUAAAUAAUGGUGUCACUUUUAAUUUUUAAAUACUGGUGUCGCUUUUAAAUCGACGUAAACAUACAUUUUAAUAUUUUUAAAUACUGGUGUCGCUUUUAAGCGACAUAAAGUAGGAGAGCUUUUCAAUCAAUGUUGCAAAAGCUUCCUUAUUUCGACGCCACAUCAGGCUCACGUCGGUUUAAACCGAAGCAACUUGGCCUAUUUCGAGGCCGCCUUGAAAAACCCAACCCCAUUUCAUUUUUAAAAAUUGUUUUAAAGCCUUAAUUGGUGAGCCCGUGGGGCCCACCUUUUUUUAUUUUUAUGUUUUCUGAUCUCUCUCUUCUUCUUCUUCGUCUCUCCCUCCCGUAGCUCUCUCAACUCUCCCGUAUCCCUCUCCCUCAACCUCUCGCAUCUCUCUCUCCCCCUGGACUCACUUGGACCUUAGCACCAUCAGGAAAGACUCGCCACGAACCAGGGACCCCUGCCUUACGAGUUUGACGACACGGAGCAAAACUCCGGCGAACCUUUUCUUCUUUUCCGUUGGGGUAAGUCUCGAAUCCCUCAUUCUCGUACCUAGCAUAAUGCUUGGUUAUGAUUUAGAAGCUUGAACCUUCCAUUUUUACGUAGGAUUUGCUUCGGAAUCGUUGUGGGUGAGCACACCCGUUUUCCGGCGAACCAUGGACUUUGGAAGCUUUUUCCGGUCACCUCCGACCGAGUCACGGUCUUUGGAAGGUAGAAACCUCUUCCUCUCUCUUUGUUCUUCAUGUUUGUACUUAGAUCGGAGCGUGAAGCCCCUGUUUUCAGGUGACCGGAGCUGUAGCAGCUCCGGCCUUCUUCUUCCUCAGCAUCAGGCCAUCCGGCCUUUCCCAUUUCCUCCCCUCGAGCCUUAGGUCCGUGUUGUCUUAAGCCUAAAACCCUAGCCCCUUUAGUUUUUUUUUUUUAAGUUUUGUUAAUUGGUUUUAAAACCCAACGAAAGGCCUCGGGCCUUAUUUAAAAAGGCCUUGGGCCGGUUUCAUUUAAAAAGGCUUAAAGCCCUGUUUUUUUUAGUGAGGCCUUAGGGCCUUGGUGCCGUGUGUGUGUGUGUAUGGUUAGGCAUGUGUGUGUGUGUGUGUGUUUAUCCAUGCACAUGCAUGCCGUGCAUGUGUGUGUGUGUUUGUGGUGUAUAUGUGUGUUGGGCUUAGGCCCAAACCCCAAUUCUCACCCUAAUACCCUUUUAACCCAAAACCCUAGGUUCCUAAAAUCCUUUAAAACCUUAGAAAACCCAAAACCCAAUAAAUCAUAAUCCUAUUUAACCUAAACCAUAAUCUGGAUUUCAAGCCUAAAACCCGUUAGACCUAAAUUGACCCUUGACCUCCGGUCAAUGUUGACUUUAGGGUUUACUUUUCGAGUUUUCGUCUGGGACUCUUCUUAGGGUAAUUCGACGUUCUGAAUCCGUUUCCAAUGUCCGUUUUCCCAAAUUCAAUCGUUUAAGUAGAGUUUGACUAAAUGUUCUCUUUAUGUGCUUAGGGGCAAUUAUUAUGACGUUUCCGUCUUUGCUAGUGACGCAGCUUUUGGUAGCUAAGUACUGUGAGUUGACCCCUUCUAAAAUUACAUGAUUUUAUAGUUUAAUUGCAUAAAUGAUUAGCAUGCCUAUGAAUUUAUGAAGUGAUUUAUGUGAAGCCUGUUGAUUUAAUAUAUUGAUUUUCGUCUCGUGUUUUUGGUGAGGAAUUAAUUGUUAGCCUAUAUUGAGUUAUAUUUUAAUAUAUCGUAUUUUCUAUAAAAACCAUGAACUGGUAGACUAUCCGAUGGAUGACGAUAGGAUGCUAGAACAUGUUUUUGAAACCCCUCUUUAUAGUAUAGAUGAUGGGUGACUUUAUACUAUGAAAUGGUUAUUUAUGAGAGACGUAACUAUUUGUGUGUACCUAGUGGACACUAUGCCGCCUGGGGCGAGGAUCUGGUGUUGGCAUUUAGGCCGGGAGAAAUAAUCCCUAGCGAAAGGCUGAGGGACACGGUGACAGGCAUUGGGCCAGGAGAGAGUUAUCUCUGGCUACGGGUACAGAGACUUAGGUGCAGGCAUUGGGCCAUGUUUAUUCGGUGAUCUUACUAGCAGCACAUCGCGCUUACAAGACGAUUUAUGAGACGUUUGAUAUUUUGAUUUCCGCGAUGAGUUUCCGCGAUAUGGCUUUUGAGAUAUUUUGGCAUGUUAGGAUUUUGAUUUAAAUCCAUCGCUUAUUAUGCUAGUAGUUUUCAUUAUUAAACUUUAGGGGUUAGUACGUUGAUAAUUGUUUUAUUAUUAUAUAUAUAAACUUGGUCCACUCACCUUUGUUUUGCGCCCCCAUUCAGGACUUAGAAUCAAGGCACCUAAUUCCGGCGUGAAGGCACUUCCGCAGCAGCAUCUUCGGAUCCUCUUGAUGUAGGACCCACUCCUUUAUUCAUUAAAUUUUAUCUUAAUUCUUUUUAGUGAUUAUGUUUAGUUGUAUGCUUUGAGCACGUUCCUAAAACUUUUAACUCAUUGUAAAUUUCUAACCCUUAUUUAUUUCUUAUUCUUAGCUUUUGUAUCAAUUAAUGGCUUUCGUCACCCCCGGGUGUCAGCCAGCACGUGUCUGGUCCUGGUAUUCGGGGAAUAUCAGGGUCGGGGUGUGUCACGCCUGCUACGACUGUCAAGACUGUCAGGGACACGUCGGUUUUAACCGACGCAAACUUGUCCUUAUUUCGACGCCACACAAACUUGUCCUUAUUUUUUAAAAUAUUUUAAAGCCUACGUCGGUUCUGAGAGACAUAGAUUUUAGUUUUUUAAAAUAUUUUAAAAUCCGGUGUCAGUUGUAAGCAACAGAAUAAUUGUCUUUAAAUACUUUCCCCCGUGUUGUUUCCUCUCUUGCAUUUUUCUUAUUCGUUCUUCCAAUUUCAAACUGUCCCGUGUUCUCUCUUGCACCUUUGUUCUUCCAACUUCAAACCCUCCCGUGUUCUCUCUUGCACCUUUCUUAUUUUUUCCUUCUUCACAACAAUAAGUUUUUCUUUCUUCUAAUAUUUUUAUUUUCUCCACUUAUGUUUAAUUUUUAUUUACAAUUUAUUUUUGUAGGGAAUUUAUUUGAGCUGGUUGAGUACAUAAAGAUUUGAUCGACGACGGAAUUCUUCCAUAAUUCAGGUUUCUAUCACUAAAUUCUUUAAUUCUUAUAUUGUAUAAUACACAAGUUUAUUUAUUUAAAAGUUCUAAUUUAAGUACUUAGAUAAAUUUAUACUAUUUUUGUUAAAUUAAUAAAUAUUUAGUCGAAUUAAUUAAUUUUGUCACUUGAAUUGUUAUGAGAAAAAGGAAAUGAAUAAUAUUUAUAACCAUUUAUGUGAAAUUGACAUAUUAAUUAUAACAUAAACUUAUAAUAUUUAGUAAUAUAAGAAUAUAUUAUGUUAAAUUAAUUUGUUUUGCACUCUAAUUUUUAUUUUUAUUUGUUUUUGUUGUUAUUUUGAUAACUUUGAUAACUUUUGGUUGUUAUUUACUAGAAUGGAUUAGAUGAGCAUAAUUUUGAUAACUUUUUGUUGUUAUUUUAAUUUGUUUUUACUAUAAUAGGUGUUGAAAAUUAAAAGAUUGCAAUCGUGAUAGAGUUCAAGGGUUAAAAGAUAGAAAUUGAAAAUUCUAAUAGUUAUGCCUAUAUGAUAGGGAUUGAAAGAUUGUAGGCAUCUUAGUGUCAACGUAAUAUUUUGCCCUCGUAAAGCGGUAAAACAUGGACAGGAGUUGGUUGACGAUAGCUCGAAAUUUGGAAGCUUAUACAGCUAGAAUUAAUUUGUUUUUGGACCAAGCAGUUGCAAAUGGUGUUGACCCUGAUAAGUUUAGAUGUCCUUGCAAAAGAUGUUGUAAUCGAUAUACUUUUGUUAGGAACAUUGUUGUUGAACAUCUCAUAUUGUAUGAUAUGGAUAAAGAUUAUAAAAACGCAUGGUGGCGACAUCAUGGUGAGAAAAACAUUGGAGAGCAAAAUGUGGCAAUCGGAGAAGAAGAAACAGGAGAUGAGGUGGUUGGUAUGCAUGAUUUUCUUAAUGAUGUAUUUGUCCAAUCAUUAACAGAAGAAGGUGUUGGGCUGUCUACUGAACCCCUUAUUGGGGAAUGGAGUCCAGAAGAGGUGGAGACUUUUUUUAGGUUGCUUGAAGAGGCAGAUCAAGAUUUGUGACCAGGAUGAAAAAAGUUUAAGAAAUUGGAAGCAGUUGUAAAACUGUAUUAGAUCAAGUGUUUAACGGGAAUGUCAGACGAGAUCUUCACCACUUUACUGGAGUUAAUUAAAAGAAUGUUGCCUAUUGGGGAUUGUUUGCCUGAUUCCUGUUAUAAGGCAAAAAACUUAUAAAUGACUUGGGUCUGACAUAUGUGAAAAUUGAUGCAUGUCCCAAUGAUUGCAUGAUCAAUUGGAAAGAUACUUCGGAGUUGACCGUGUGCUCGGUUUGUGGUGAAUCAAGAUAUAAAAUUACCAGCGCAGAGGAUAGCUCAAGAAAAAAGAUCGCAGCUAAGGUUAUGUGGUAUUUUCCUUUAAAACCACGAUUGCAACGAUUUUUUAUAUCGAAGCAUACUGCUGAACAUAUAAGGUGGCAUGCAACUGAAUGUCCUAAGGAUGAGUUUAUGAGGCAUCCUUCAGAUUCUCCAACAUGGAAGCAUUUGGAUAAUUUAUAUCCGGAUUUUGCGUCAGAAAUUCGAAAUGUCAAAUUAGGGUUGGCCAGUGAUGGAUUUAAUCAUUUUGGGAAAAUGAGGCAUGACCAUAGCACAUGGCCUGUGGUGCUUUCUGUUUACAAUGUACCACCUUGGAUGUGCAUGAAGUAACCAAAUAUUUUGUUGUCUCUAUUAAUACCAGGGCAGUCCUGGUAAAGAGAUUGAUGUAUACAUGCGUCCACUGAUUGACGAGUUGAAUGAGUUGUGGGAUGUGGGCAUUCCUACUUAUGAUGCAUGUUCCAACCAAAGUUUUUCAAUAAAGGCUAUCGUCUUAUGGACUAUAAGGGUGCGUUUGUUGCGCCGGACUGUCUCGGACUGGACUAGCUGCCGGGACUAAGCUGGACUGGCUUAGACUGGACUAAGCUGGACUAACUUAGUGAAGCAUUUGGUGUAAUGUCGGACUAAGAAGCAGGAUAAGAAAAACAGUACUGUUCACCAGAUUUGUGUUUGCUUAGACUAGGACUACAAAUUUUUGCCAUUGUGUAAUAGAGUAAUGCUACAAAUCUCAUGAUAUGGGUUAAUUAGAGCAUAUUUUUGCCAUGUAUAUUAUGAAUCUUAAAAAAAAUUGACAAUUGUUUUGUUUCUAUUACCUGCUAAUAGAAUUGGGUUUAAUUUGCAAAUGUAGCUUGGUUUAAACUCUAUCACCCAAUAGAAGAAAAAUAAUAGUGCCCAAUACAUGCAACUUCACAAAUACAAGUACAUAAGAAGAUCUCCAUAAUUUAGAAAAUCCUAGUUAACAUUAGUUAACAUUAGCCAAAAUAGAUCUCCAUAAUUUACAAAAUGGCUAGUUAACAUAAGCCAAAAUACUAGUGCAAAGCUAAGUUAUAAGCCAUAACAUAAGAUUGUAUGAUUAAUAAAAUAUAUCCAUGUUAACAUUAGCCAAAAUCCUCAUCCGCUUGCGUUGUCGCUUAAAAACUUUUGGACGAACACUUUCUUGAGUUCCGGUUUGAUUGCCCUGAACACUCCCACAUUUUUUUGUUUAUCCAAAAUAAGAGACAAUGCAUCAAUUUGAUCCAUAGGAGAGAGACCCAUUGCUUCAAGUUCAUUAACUAUGUCAGUAUGAUCUGCAGUACCUUGAACUAAAGCUUCAGUUACCAUUUGCAUCCUCUUCCCACUUUCAACAUAAAAAUCUUUCAGUCCACUGAUAAUUGCCUCGGUUCCAUCACUUUGAACUUCCCACAGCUCUUUUUUCCUCUUUCUUUGGCUAUUUUCAGAUGGGGUGUUUUGUUGGCUUUGUUGGUUCAUUGAAGAAACAAAAUUUUCACCUCCAAUAUCACUUUCACCAACAUGAUCAUGACUUUGUUCCUCCACCAUUUGAGCAGGGGUUUCGGCUACAUUACCCGUAGCCCGAUCUUUUCCAAAUAUAUAUGCAAAUCUAUCAAACAGUGGAAAAGGUUUGCUUCUCCAUCCAUCGGCUUCUUUAUUUCUCUAAGAUUAUAUCAACAUAGCAAAACUAAAAUUUAGCAUGCGUAACAAAUAUAGUAGCAAUAAUAUAACUAAUGUAUAAAUAAAAUAGGAUAUGAACCUGCACAUAAGUUUGCCAUGAGUCAUCACUAUCAACUUCAACGCACUUUUUGACAUCAUUCCAUGCAAAUCCACUUGUGUUUAUCAUGUCAACGACCAUACUAUAUGUUUUUUUCCAUUUCUUCAACUUGGACUCAAUAUGUGGAUUUGCCUUUAUAUUUGAAUGAGGACAUAAAACAUUGACAACUUUUGCUAUUUCAACCAAAGUACCUUGUUUGAAAGCACCGGUGUCACACCGUUGCUUCCGAGCAACAAAAUCCUCAAGAACUCCUAGUAAUACUUCUUCCUCAAAUGCUUCCCAUUUACGCCUUCUUCCUUUUGGCUCUUGAGUAGCAUUCAAAAUAUUUUCGUUAUCCAUACCUAUAAACAAAAAAUAUUUUAAUGAAGGAAAAUACCAUACAAAUAAUCAAUUUGCAUAAUAUCCAAUCAACUUGCAUAAUAUCCAAUUAAUUUGCAUACCAUCCAAUCAUUAUGCUAAUAUCUAACAAAUGCAUGAUAAAAAGGAAUACUAAAAUAAAAUGUUAUCAUUAACACAUAUAGCUAGUUCGGUUGAUGGUUCCUAAUUGCUCUCCACUCGUUAUACAUUUCCUGAGCCAUGUCAUUCCUUUUUGCAGUCCACUAGUCAGAUGUUUGAACACUACCAACAUAUUCACCUUCUUCUGUAUUUUGUCCAUCUUCUAUUAUUGGAAAAUUCUCCAUUGGAUCUACAGACAUCUCUUGCCUAAUAAGAUUGUGUAGUAGGCAACAAGCGGUAAUUAUUCGACCUUGUGUCCUUAUCGGAUAGAAAGAUGGACUCCUUAGUAUUGACCACCUUCCUUUUAGCAAGCCAAAACAGCGUUCAAUUACAUUCCUUGCCUUAGAAUGCUUCAUGUUAAAAUAUUCUUCCUUAUUAGAAGGUGUUCGUCCCUCCCAUUCAGAUAAAUGAUAAGGUAUUCCUCUAUAGGGUGCAAGGAAUCCUUCACCAUUUGUAUAACCACCAUCUACAAGGUAAUAAUAACCUAAUGAAAAAAAAAAAAACAUACCUUAUUAGUGUUUUGUAGUUGACAAACAGAACUAGACCUAACUUACAAAGUUGAGACUAAGUAAUAGUCUUACCCGCUGGUACUUUAAAACCAUUAGGCCUAGUAAUUGCAUCAUGUAGCACUCUAGAGUCUGAUGCGGAAACCCUCCCACCCCGGAAAACACAUAUAUGAACUGCAUAUCUCCUGAACACACACCUAACACAUUAGUUGCGACUCGACCCUUUCUUGUUCGGUAUCUUGGUUUGUCAAUUUCAGGUACAUGCACAUCAAUGUGUGUUCCAUCCAAUGCUCCCAAGCAAUUCUUAAAAAAAAAAAAAAAAAAGUUUUUGUUAAUUUAUACAAAGGGAAUGAAGAGUUAAAGCUUAAGGGAAAAUGAAAAAAAAUUCUCAUCAUACCUUAAAACAUCGCCACCUAGGAUCUGUAGAAUCAAUAGGCACAGGCUGAGGGACUUUUAGUAGGAUACCUUGUAAUCGCAAAAUUCCUUGCAAUACGAUAUUGAAAUACCUACUUAUAGUCUCUCCCGACCUAUAAAAUCUACCGCCAACACUACGAUUCUUAGUAUGAUGUGCUAAUAUUUGUAAAGUCAUACACACCUGCUUCUCUACAGACACCAAACCAUCAGUUUUUACCCUCCCAUCUUGACGAAGUAAGUCACAUAAUAUGCCAAAAGUCCUUCUAUCCAUUCUCAAUUCGUUGACACAUUCAGUAUCAGUAUUCCCUAUUUAUACCAUUCAGAUAACACAAACUAAUCUCUCGUCUAAUAAGUGAACGGUUAGUCAAUGUGGGUCGUUCAACAUGUCUCUGUUUGCCACGUAGCAUCAUCAACACAAGAAUCGUACAAAUGCAAAUUGUCUCCAAAUAAGACAUCUCUAACAAUAAGAUCAAUAAAAGCUUCCUUCGAUCCAUAUCUAUCCAAACAAAAAAAAAAACAAAUUAAGGACAUUAUAUAUGUAAUAUUUACUGUUAUUAAGGGUGAUGGAAAUGAAGUGAUUAUGAUACGAAAUGAACUAGAUCAAAGUAACUAGCGAAGUCACAAUCCGAGGCAUCAAAUAUACGGGUGGUGUUGGAAAAAAAAAGUUAUCAUUAACCCGAGGCAACAAAUAUACAGGUGGCGUUGAAAAAAAAAGUUAUCAUUAACCCAAGGCAUCAUAUUCAAAAUGUUCUACUCUUAUACAUCUAUAAACAUGUGUCUAAGAACACUAGUAUGAGGAUUGCUAUCAUUGCUAGGCAUUGCAUGUGAAGAGGGAAAUUAAAGGACACCUGUAAUGCAGUAGCGUUAGCCUUAGCCUUCCGUUUAUGCUCCUCUUCUCUGCAACCAACAACCACAAAAAAUUGCAAUUCAGCAUCAACCCCACACCAUACAAAACAUUCACAUUGUAAUAUCAUGAUUAUAAACCAAGUACACACACACACACUCAUGGACAAAUGUGCAAAAUACACAUACAUACUCACACUCACACUCACACUAACACACACACACGGACAUACUCACACUCACACACGGACAUACACUCACACACACACACACUGCAUACACACUCACACACAUACUCACACGGACAUACACACUCUCACACACGGACAUACACUCACACACACCCUGCAUACAUACAUACACACACACACACACUGCAUACAUACAUACACACACACACACACACAGCAUACAUACAUACACACACACACACUGCAUACAUACAUACACACACACACACACUGCAUACAUACACACACACACACACACACAGCAUACAUACACACACACACACACACUGGUUAGAUGCACACACUGCACACAUACUGGUCAGAUGCACACACUACAUACACACACACACACUGCAUACACACUCACACACUGCAUACACACUCACACACAUACUCACACGGACAUACACACUCUCACACACACCCUGCAUACAUACAUACAUACACACACACACACUGCAUACAUACACACACACACACUGCAUACAUACAUACACACACACAGGCAUACAUACACACACACACACUGGUCAGAUGCACACACUGCAUUCACACGAACAUACACACUCUCACACACUGACAUACACUCACACACACCCUGCAUACAUACACACACACACUGCAUACACACUCACACACAUACUCACACGGACAUACACACUCUCACACACGGACAUACACUCACACACACCCUGCAUACAUACAUACAUACACACACACACACACUGCAUACAUACACACACACACACACUGCAUACAUACACACACACACACACACGGCAUACAUACACACACACACUGGUUAGAUGCACACACUACACUCACACGGACAUACACACUCUCACACACUGACAUACACUCACACACACCCUACAUACAUACACACACACCCUGCAUACAUACACACACACACACACACACACUGCAUACACACACACACACACACUGCAUACACACUCACACACAUACUCACACGGACAUACACACUCUCACACACGGACAUACACUCACACACACCCUGCAUACAUACAUACAUACACACACACACACACACAUUGCACACAUACACACACACACACACACUGCAUACAUACACACACACAGACACUGCAUACAUACACACACACACACUGCAUACAUACACACACACACACUGCAUACAUACACACACACACACACACUGGUCAGAUGCACACACUGCACUCACACGGACAUACACACUCUCACACACUGACAUACACUCACACACACCAUGCAUACAUACACACACACCCUGCAUACAUACACACACACCCUACAUACAUACAUACACACACACACAUUGCAUACACACACACACACACACUGCAUACAUACAUACACACGCACACACACUGCAUACACACACACACACACUGUAUACACACACACACACACACUGCUUUAUGAAAACCCCAAAUUCCAAAUUUCUAAUCUCAAUUUCAAACCCCAAAUUCCAAGCUUUAUGAAAACCCCAAAUUCCAAACCCCAAAUUCCAAAUUUCUACUGCAUACUUACAUACACACACACACUGCUUUAUGAAAACCCCAAAUUCCAAAUUUCAAACCCCAAAUUCCAAAUUUCUAAUCUCAAUUUCAAACCCCAAAUUCCAAGCUUUAUGAAAACCCCAAUUUCUAAUCUCAAUUUCACCUAAAUAUCAAAACCCUAAAAUUUGUUCAACUGCAGAAUCAAAUAAAGCUCAAACCCAAAACAAAUCCGCCCAAAUCGACGAAAAAAAUCCACCCAAAUCGACGAAAAAAAUCGAACAAUCGAAGCUUACCAGACAACUGGAGGCAGAUGAGGGCGAGCAGAUCUGUUAUGUGAAGACGAUGGAGCGGACGACGAGAGGAACAGAUGAGGAGCAGGAUGCAACUGACGGCGAGCAGGACGCAGAGAUGAGGAUGAGGAGGACGACGUGAGGGAGGAGGACGUCGACAACACUCUCUCCUAGGAUGACCGAGGUUCUUUCUCGCAAGAGCGCAAUCGGAUGAGAAGGACGACGUGAGGGAUGAGGUCUUACGAAUCCGGACGUUUUUUGGGUGGUUCGCUAAGAACUCCUAGCGAGGGGUUUAAUCCGUGCGAGUCGGAUCUAAUCCCAUUAAACCUAAUCCUUGCCCCUACCAAACAUCAGACUACAAUACCAAUUAGUGUAGUCCAGUCCAGUCCCCCCUAAGAAGGUCAAACAAACACGCCCUAAGUGCUUUUCCAGCUUAUGGAAUGUUGUCAGGAUGGAGUACACAUGGCUAUAAAGCCUGUCCACAUUGCAUGCAUGAUAAAGAAUCUAUUUACUUACCAGCGAGUCGUAAGAUUUGUUAUAUGGGGCAUCGACGUUUUCUUGAAGAUAAUCAUAGGUUUCGAAAGCAAACCAUAAAUUUUAAUGGUCGUCGAGAGCAUCGUAGUGCACCAAAGGCAGUGGACUGGUUUACAGUGUCUCGAAGAACUUUCUACAUUGAGAUUUACUUUUGGAAAACCAAAGAAAGAUGCUUCUGUUGGGCAAUGCAGAAAAAGAACUUCGAGCAGUACAAGUAGUAACAGUCAGUGGAAGAAGAAAUCUAUUUUUUAUGAACUACCUUAUUUGAGGCAUCUGUUGAUUAGACACAAUCUCGAUAUUAUGCAUAUCGAGAAGAAUAUAUGUGACAGUGUGGUGGAAACAUUGCUAGAUAUAGAAAAGUCUAAAGAUGGAUUAGCUGCACAUGAAGAUCUUGAAGUCUUGAACAUAAGACAUAGUUAACACCCACGUAGAGAAAGAAAUAGAACAUUUCUACCUCCAAAGUACGUUUUGCAAAGUGUUGUCUACCAUUCGGGUCCCCGAUGGAUAUUCUUCAAAUUUAUUGAGAUGUGUGCAUAUGAAUGAACGAAAAAUACAUGGGUUGAAAGGUCAAGAUUGCCAUGUUUUAAUGCAGCAGUUACUCCCGCUUGCAAUAUGCUCGGUUUUGCCUAAAGCUGUUACUAUGGUAUUAUUAGAGUUGAGUGCAAUUUUCAGACAGUUGUGUAGUAAGAAGGAGUCUGAGGAAGGAUUCAAGCAAUUGAAUUCAAGAAUUGCCUUGACAUUAUGUCAACUUGAAAAAAUAUUCCCUCCUGCAUUUUUUGAUAUAAUGGUGCACCUUCCAGUUCACUUGGCAUAUGAAGCAGCUCUUGCAGGGCCUAUUCAAUAUAGAUGGAUGUAUCCAAUUGAACGGUAAUUAAUAAAUUUUUAUAAAUUUUUUACAAUUGUAGUCAUAGCUUUAAUUUAUAAUUAUAAUAAUUUGUGUUUCAUUUAUAAUUGUAGGUAGUUGUGUAACACCUACCCCCAUUUAUAAAAUAUAUUUAUGUAAUUAUCCCCUAAAUUUUAUAAAUCUAUCAUUUUAAUCCUAUUUUGACUACCCUAUCAGGAUCUAAAAGUUGGAAUCCUUUUCUUUCUCAAGCUGCCACGUGGCAGCACCCCAAUCACCCUCUCAUUUUUCUCUUUAUCCCCCCCGUGACCCCCAUCUUCUUCUUCCUUCUGUCUAUCCCUUCUCUCCCUCUCGGAUCUCUCAUUUCUCUCCCUCUCUUCAUUGAAAUCUCAGAUGCGCACACACCCACAGCGACAUAACAAUUUCGAGGAAGCCAUCAUCGUCAUCAAUUUCUCAUUCUUCUCUCUCUCUCUUUCCCGUGCUACGAGGACAGAAACCCGGAAAGGAACUCCAGCGAGAUUUUUCUAUUCUCCGGUUAGGUAAGCUUUGAUUUCCCUCUAUUUCAUCCUAGAAUCUUGUGAGAAUGAGUUUUAAGUGGGUUUUAUUUCGUUUUUGUUGAGGUUUUAGGACGAAAUCAACGCAGGUGUAGGCACACCCAUCUCCGGUAAACCGUGGGUGUCGAGGGAAGUUUCGGCCAUAUCCGACCGUUCCAAGGCGAAAGGAAGGUAUAAAAACACUCCUCUUGUCUUGUACUUCAUUUUGGUACCUAGAUCGGGGUCUAUGGUUGUAGUUUGUGGUUGGCCAGAGCUGUAGAAGCUCCGGCGUUCUUCUCCGUCGACGCCAGGCCUUCAAGCCGUUUCUAGGACAAGCGGGCCUUAGGCCCGUGGUGAACCUAAGCCCUUUUUGGGCCAUUCUAGAACUUGGGCUUCAAGCCCGUUCGGUCCAUAUCCCAUAUUUUAAUAUUCUGUUAUUUAUAUUUUUGUUAGUUAUUUAUUAAGACCCAAAAGGCCUUCGGGCUGUCCCAUUCAAGGAUUAAGGCUCGUUGACCCAACCCAAAACAUUUUUAGGUUUUAAUCAAUUUCUGUUUUAGAAAUAAAGGCCUUAGGCCAUUUUUAUUGGGCUUUCAUCCCUUUCCCAAACCCAUUAACCUUUAAUUUAAACCCAAAACCCUUAGGGCCCAUUCGGCCAAACCCAAUCCAAAGCCCAGUCUGACUUUGACCCUUUGACCAGUUGACUCUGACUGUUGACUCGAUCAACGGUCAGCGUUGACUUUGACUUUGACCGGUCAAUGGUCAACGUUGACUUUUUGAGUUGACUUUUUGGGGUUUCGUCCAGGACCUCUCCUAGGCUAAUUUCGACGUCCUGGACCCGUUUUUUAUGUCCGUUUUUCCAAAUUCAAUCGUUUGAAUAGAGUUUACUAAAGGUACUCCUUUAUGUGAAUAGGUGCAAUUAUUAACCCCGGAAUUUCACCAUUUAUUACGUAGUUCGUAAUUUAAAUUCGUAUUCGCAAUUACAUUAUCUUUAUUAGUUAAUUUUAAUUCCACUAAUUAUAAGUUUAGUAAUCGAUUAGUUAUCGAGUUAGAAGUUUCAUAAUCAAUCUUUAUCUUUCGUUGACAUUUCAAAGUUACAACUAGUGUUUUUAAAUAAAUCUUGAACCCAUGAACGCAUAGGCGAAAGCCGUUUGCGAGUCCGAAUUAUAACGGUAUAGUUCUGGACAUUGAAAUUGUGAACUAUAGAUUGUGGGAAGCAUGGGUUAAAUGUUAAGUUAGUAAAGAAAAGAAAAAAGUAAAGUGGGGACCUAUCAGAUUUUUUUUAAAGGGUAUGAAAUGACCCAUUUGGAAAAGAAAAGGGAAGGCCACUUUCUUCCUCCCUAUUUUCGUGAAACCGUAAGGUCUACCAGUCAAAAUUUAAACUGGCCAAUUCCUCCAUUUUUCCAGUUGAUUUUCCUACCUCCUUCACCUGCAACUUGCUCAACUACCUUCCUCCUUCCCUCUCUACCAAAAAUUAAGGGUUUUUAAGGUCUAUUUCAUGUAGAACUCCAUAGGAGAACCCGGGGGUUCUCGACGAAGAAUUGUCAUUCUGGAGAGUAUCACCAUUCCCCAUCACCCUUAAUCCACUUCCCUUGGACCCAAGAACAAGACCCAACUGGUGGUUGAGGCGUUGGAACACCAAGGAAGUCGAAUUGAAGAACACCCACCUUAGGGUUUCGUUGGGUGCGAGCCAAUUUGAGGGCCUUCCUGGCCAAAUUGGACUCAGCCACAGGUAUAAAGUGUACUUUACUUGUUGAAAUCUUCAUUCUUGUAAAAUUUGAUAUUUUUUGGAAAAAAAAAGUCGAAUUUUCCUAUAUGUGACAUUUGAAUUAUGAAAAUGUUGUUGAGUGUAUAUUUUAUCGAUAAGGUCUGCCACUUGAUUAUUCUAACAAUUGACAAUCUUAUCAUUGAAUUGAGACAAGAUUUUGAUAUGCUAUUGUAGAUAUUGUUUAAGGACCUUAGGGACUUAUAAGUGAAAAUCUAGUGAUUGGAUUUUACGAAGCAAAUGACGUAAGAUCAUGGACCCUACAUUAGAACGACGGUUCGAUUCCUCAUUAAAUGUUGUUGUGGGAGACAUAUGAGAAUUUUUUAGUAUGUGAAUUAUCGAAGAAAAUCUAAAUGUGGACUUGUGCUUUGUUAGAUGGUGACAAGAACGUGAUGCCUUGACUAUCGUGCUAGGGUACAUUAGCACGAACUCCAGGUGAGUGACUUUAAUAUAUGUGAUAUUGGUAAUUACCAAAUUGUCAUAAUUAUGAUCAUGUGUGGAUAUGAAUUGGUUUUAUAAAUAUGUCCUAUUGAAUUGUUAUUCCAAUACUUCAACAUCAAUUGAUGUUUAUGAAAUGGUGUGUGGCAUGUAUAUUGGAAAUGUGGUUUGAUUUGUAUGAUUGACAUAUUGAGAUUAAUGUGAGGACUAGUAAUGAUCGUUAACCAUUAUGAUGGGGAUUUUUUGCUUAGAUAUUGUUUCACCUUCCUCUUCGGCGAUUGGUUCUAAAUUUAGUAUUUGUGCCUUAUUUCCCUUGGUUGAGCUUUUGUAAAUUAAGUAACUUGUGCUUGUCUCAUUUCUUUGAGCCGUGUAUAUAUGGUUGUUGGCCUUCCGCGAUUCCGUUGAGUGAGGGUCCGGAAUCGUAUCCACUCAGAUUCCGUUGAUAGAUGGUCCAAAAUCCCUUAUAUUCCGUGAUUCAGUUGAGUGAUAUUCCGGAAUCGUAUCUAAAUUGGGUUUCAUUUAGUUAUUGUUACAUGUUGUAUUUAGCAAUUCCGUUGAGUGAGGGUCCGAAAUCGUAUCCACUCGGAUUCCAUUGAAAGAUGGUCCGGAAUCCCUCCUAUUUCGCAAUUCCAUUGAGUGGUGGUCCGGGAUCAUACUCACAUUGGGAUUUAUUGAAUUUGAUUAUGAUGACUUCAAAGGUGUAUGCUUUAGCCAAACUGUGUCGCUCCAACUCUACUUUUCAUUGUGUUGUAUGAGAAGAUGGUUGUGAGAUGUUGUGAUUGGUUUCAGACAAACCGUUGGAUGUCUAGGUGACUCCUUCGGGGUUUACAAAAGUUGGUAUUGAUUUCUUAUGAAUGAAUUAUAUUCAAGAUAUGUAAACUGUGUUUGAUGGUUGGCAUUAGCAUUAUUCACACAUAUUUGAUAUUAUUGUCACUCUCCUAAGCUUCGCAACUUAUCCAGGUUGUUGUUUGCCUGGUGCACCAUUCCGAUGGUGUAGGCACUGAUCGUACAGGUGACAGGUUUGAGUAGACUUCGAGAAGUUUGUAGGUGGGGGUAGCAGUGCAGUUAUCAGAGACUUGGAGCGUUAGGUUACCCUUGUAUCACUCUUGUACUUUAUCUUUUGGGACUUUCUUUUGAGCACCUCAUACUUAUCCUUAGUAAAGCAAAGAUUAUGCUUCUUUUUGGGAUGUAGAUAUUUGUAAAUAUUUUGUGGAGAACUUAGCCACCUUCGCAUUAUUUUGGGUUAUCAGUUAAAGUAUUUCAUUCCGUAACUUAUACCGUAUUCAACGGACGUUAUUUCCUUGUCACGUGUCGAUUCUCGACGUAUGUUGGGAUCGGGACGUGACAAGGUGAUUCCGUUAUACUUUUUGGUACAACUUUGCACCAUCGGUGCACGGUGAGUGUACCCCUUCAAAAGCAUGUUUUAAUAAUAGAAAUACAUACAUGAAAAGCAUGAUUUAAUAAUUAUGUUUUAUGAAAUGUUUUGUGAGAUAACAUGCUUACUGAGGCUAGAUUGAAUUAUUACUAUUUUUCCUAUAACCCAUGUUCUUAUAGAAUAUCCGAUGGAUGACGAUAUGUAUUUAGAACAUGUUUAGAACACCUCUUUGUAGUAUAGAUGAUGGAUGACUUUAUACUAUGAAGUUGUUUUUCAAUAUAGAUAUAUUCAAUGGUUUUGUACUUACCUAGUGAUCUUUUCCACUACGGGUCGUAGGAAUAUAUUCUGGUCCAUCCCGGGCGACUGUUUGGUGUUGGCAUAGGGCCUAGAGUGUGUUUCCUCUAGCUAUUUAGCACAUGGAUGGGGAGCCGGAAUGGGGCCUGAAGUGUAUUUUCCUCUGACUGUCUGCUCAGAGACGGGGAGCCGGCAUGGGGCCUGGAGGUUAUCGGACAAAUCACUAGUGUUUAUUACUUAUACAUGUUAUGAAUUUAAGAUACUGCACAUCAUGCUAGGUUUCGGAAAACCUAUGUUUUUCAUUAUAUAUGUGUUUUCAUAAACCUGGAGGUUAGUAUGUUGAUAACGGCUUUAUUAUAUUUAUAUCAAAUUGGUCCACUCACGUUUGUUUUGCACCCCCUUCAGGACCUACGAACGAGGAUUACGAUUUAAGCUACGAGACAUUUCCCUACCAAUGAUUCAGUGUUAUAUUUCCUUUGUUUCGACACUUAUUGUAAUAUAGCACAUCUAUAUCUUAUAUUCUGUUUGUACUCUGUAAUAGACGUAUGCUCUGAACUUAUGUGUAUGACCAUAAUUUUAUUAAUUAGCAGUUGAACUUUUGUAUUAUGUUACUAGUUCCUUUUGACUGUUUUAACUUAUUUCUGAGCUUUUACUUAAAUUAAAUGGCUUUCGUCACCCUUCAGGUGUCGGCCAGCACUUAACCAUCCCAAUGUCCUGAAGACAUCGGGAUCGGGGCGUGUCAGAUUGGUAUAAGAGCGUGAUUCAUUCAGAGCAUACUUAGGAUUCCUUUCCACCAUUUGGUAAUUAUAAUUCUCAUUAUAUCCUUAAUUUCCAGUUGUUCUAAAUCUUUCUUGUUUCUUAUCAGAAUUAUGGAUCUUGCUGGUGUACCUCGUCGAGCUCGUUCUGGAAUAGGGGGAGGAAUCGAACAAUUGGCUAAUGUUUAACGAAAUUCCUUUACUAAUAGAUCAAAACGCACAUAUAUUGAGAUUGCUACCAGUCAUGGUAUUCCGGAUAUUCGAGUAGUGGGAGCCUGUCCGGAGGCCGAGGAAUGGUUGGAGUAGGUGGAAGACACUCUGGAUGGUAUGAGAUGGCCACCAGGUGAGUGGGCGGAGACUGCAGGUUAUUUUCUUAAGGGAGGUGCUAAGGUUUGGUGGAAAUCAGUGAAGCAUGCUCGUCCACCAGGUACUUCGAUGACUUGGGCGGCAUUCCGGAAAGCUUUAAGUGCAUAUUUUCUGAGUCCCAGUUAUCAACUGAGGAUGAGACAGUAAUUUCUGGAGUUUCGUUAAGGCAAUCUAAGUAUCACUGAGGUGGAUAAUACUUUUCGACGCCUGUCGAGACAUCAUGCAGAGACUUAUGGAAACCCUAGCGAGAUGAUGGUUCAGUUACUAAUUUGCUUGAAUCCAGACUAUCGUGAACAAGUGGCAGCCAUAAGGCAUAGAAGUUACGAGGAGAUGAUCGAGACCUGUUUGAGAAUUGAGCAAUCUAGGUGAGAGACUCAUAACCAGGAGCAGGCACAGUUUCAGGAACCACCCAUAUAUCAGGAACAACCUCGAAACCAGAACCAGAGAGGUCGUGGUUUUCGAUCUCGGAGUGUGAGGGAAUCAUGUAGCUCCUCUAAUUUUGUUGGCCCUAGACACUCUCAUUCUUUCAAACGUCAGGGUCAGGGUUUAGGUUCUUCUAGCGAGGGUUCAGGCAAUGAAUCUGGAAGGCGAUCUUUCAGUCACUUCAGAUCGCAUAUUACGUGUCACAGGUGUGGAUGCACGGGGCAUAUUGCCAGAUUUUGCCCUUCAAGACAACCUGCUGAGAGUUAUGCAUCUGUGCCGAGUUAUGGUAGAGGGGGUAAUCCGAGUUCUAGUUAUGGCGGUAAUUAUACUCAGAACUAUGGUGGGAAUGGAAGUAGAAGUCAGAAUACUCAAUUUUCCACUCAGAGACAGCCGCAACAGUUUGGUGCAGCUUCAAGUAGCCGCUCACAGGGGAAUCGAGCAGGUCGUAACGGUGGUGCAGAACGUCAGUUUCAUGGACGUAUCAACGCCAUGACACAACAGGAAGCUGAUCAAGAUCCUCAAGUUAUUACUGGUAUGUUACUUAUUUGUGGUAAUUGGGCGAGGGUUCUAAUUGAUCCGGGUGCUACUUUUUCAUUUGUGUUUUCAUCAUUUGCACUGAAUUUAAAUGCACCACCUACACCUCUUGGAUAUGAUAUGCUUGUGCAAAUGUCACAAGGAGAUCUAUUUUGUGCUUAGUGGGAGUAUAAAAGUUGCCUGGUAAUAGUGGAAUGGGAAAUGAUGGAGGCUAAUCUGGUCUCUCUUAAUUUGGCGAAGUUUGAUGUUAUUUUAGGGAUGGAUUGGCUAUCCAGGCACCAUGCUUAUGUCGCAUGUUGGGAGAAAUCUAUGACGUUCAAUCGGUCUGGACGGCCGUUGAUCACAUUUCAGGGUGAGCGAUGAAUCCUUCUUAGUAGCAUUAUUUCCCCUAUUCAGGUGACUAAAUUGUUGAGUAGGGGAUGUGUGGGAUUCUUAGCCCAUGUAGUGACAAGGGAUAAACCUUUGUUGAGACCUAAGGAUGUGCCAGUGGUGAAACAAUUUAUCGAUGUUUUUCCGAAGGAUUUACCAAGGUUACCGCCUGCGAGGGAAAUUGAAUUUACCAUCGAUUUACUUCCAGGUACAGACCCUAUCUCUUUACCACCCUAUCGAAUGGCACCAGCAGAAUUGAGGGAAUUGAAGAUUCAACUUCAAGAGUUAGUGGAUAAAGGUUACAUCCAACGCAGCAUGUCUCCCUGCGGCGCUUCUGUUUUAUUUGUUAAAAAGAAAGAUGGAUCGAUGAGACUUUGCAUCGACUACCGGCAGCUAAACCGGGUGACGGUGAAGAAUCGUUAUCCUCUGCCUCAGAUCGAUGACCUGUUUGACCAGCUGAAUAGUGCUCAGCUGUUCUUUAAGAUCGAUCUUCACUCAGGUUAUCAUCAGCUGCUAAUUCGGGAGGAAGAUGUAUCGAAGACUACCUUCCGCACUAGGUACGGACACUUUGAAUUUCAUGUCAUGCCUUUCAGAUUGACGAAUGCACCUGCAAUGUUCAUGGAUUUGAUGAACAGAGUUUUCAGACCGUAUCUAGAUCGGUUUGUGAUUGUGUUCAUCGAUGAUAUUUUGAUCUUUUCCAAGAGUGUUAGCGAGCACAGGAAGCAUUUAAGGUUGGUGCUGGAAAAGUUGAGAAGUCAGCAGCUGUAUGCUAAGUUUAGCAAGAGUCAGUUCUGGCUAAACCAAAUCAGCUUUCUCGGUCAUGUAGUAUCUGCUGAGGGGAUUAGUGUGGAUCCUCAGAAGGUGUCGGCAAUAACUACGUAGGAGCAACCGAGGAAUGUUACAGAAGUGAGGAGUUUUCUUCUAGGUCUGGCUGGCUAUUACCGAAGAUUUUUUAAAGGUUUCUCAUCCAUUGCCUUACCUUUGAAUAAGUUGACUCGGAAGGAAGUUGAGUUUAAGUGGGAUGAAGAUUGUGAGCGGAGUUUUCAGGAGCUGAAGCGAUGUCUCACUCAAGCUCCCGUUCUUACGCUUCCGGACGAUAGCGGUGAGUUUGAGAUCUACACGGAUGCAUUUCUGUCAGAUUUGGGUUGUGUAUUGAUGCAACAUGAUAAAGUCAUUGCUUAUGCUUCUAGACAACUCAAGAUUCACGAGAGAAACUAUCUCACUCAUGAUUUGGAACUUGGUGCAGUGGUGUUCGCUCUAAAGAUUUGGAGACAUUAUUUGUACGGUGAGAAGUGUCGCAUCUUUACUGAUCAUAAGAGCCUCAAGUAUAUCUUUACGCAGAGAGACUUGAACUUGAGGCAGAGAAGAUGGAUGGAACUUACCACUAAUUAUAACUGCACGAUUGAAUAUCAUACCGGACAUGCCAAUGUAGUGGCGGAUGCACUUAGUCGAAAAUAUCACGGACAGCUUGCAUCCCUUCAAGCUAUUCAUGUUCCGCUACUAUUUUCUCUUCGAGAAACAGGCGUGCCGGUGAGACUAGGUGAACAGGGAGCUUGGUUGGCACAUUUCCAUGUUAGACCUGUUUUGGUGGAUAUGGUUCUAGAAGCCCAAGAGCUUGAUCAGGAAUGUGCCGACAGAAAGAUUUCGGUGGAAAAAUGAGAAGAUGAACAUUUUAUUAUCCGCAAGGAUGGAGCCUUGAUGUGGGAAAACAGAUUGUAUGUGCCUCAUGAUAACGAAGCAGUAAAAAGGGAAAUUCUGGAUGAAGCACACAUGUCAGCAUAUGCCAUGCAUCCGGGAAGCACUAAAUUAUAUCGCAUUAUCCGUCCGUUUUAUUACUAGUUAGGAAUGAAGUGGGAUGUGGUGGAUUAUGUGAGUAGAUGCAUCAUUUGUCAACAGGUGAAGGCUGAGAGGCAAAGACCUGGAGGAUUGAUGCAGAAUCUUCCGAUACAAGCGUGGAAAUGGGAAGACAUCACCAUGGAUUUUGUAUAUGGUUUGCCGAGGACACAGUCGAGAUUGGACGACAUUUGGGUAAUUGUUGAUCGACUUACUAAGACCGCUCACUUCUUGCCUGUUCGAUAGACCUAUCCACUGGAGAAAUUAUCGAAGUUGUUCAUCGAUAAUAUUGUUAGAUUUCAUGGUGUACAUGUCUCUAUUGUUUCAGACAGAGAUCCCAUAUUUACUUCCAGGUUUUGGAAAGCUUUUAAUAUUGCCAUGGGUACUCAAUUGUUGUUUAGUACUGCCUAUCAUCCACAUACUGAUGGUCAGUCUGAGAGGAAAAUUCAGACAUUAGAGGACAUGUUGAGAGUGUAUGUUCUCCAAUGGAAGGGUAGUUGGGAUAGCUAUUUGUCGUUGGUUAAGUUUGCGUACAAUAAUAGCUAUCAUUCGAGUACUGGUAUGGCACCAUAUGAAGCUCUGUAUGAGAGAGUGUGUCGGAUGCCGUUGUGUUGGGCAGAGGCUGGCGAGCGAGUAUUGCUGAGACCAGAGAUUGUGGACACUACCAAUGCGAACAUCCAGCUGAUUAAGAGAAACCUCAAGGCAGCACAAGACCGACAAAAAAACAUCGCGGACAAACAUUCCAGGGAUCGUGAGUAUAAAAUUGGUGAUUAUGUAUUCUUGAAGUUGUCUCCUUGGAAGGGUGUUGUUCAUUUUGGUAAGCAAGGAAAGUUGAGUCCUCGAUACGUUGGUCCUUAUCAAAUUACAGAGAGAAUUGGUGCAGUUGCCUAUAGAUUGGAGUUGUCACCAGAGUUAUCUCUGAUUCAUAACGUUUUCCAUGUUUCCAUGCUUCGGAAAUAUGUAUCAGAUUCCUCUCAUAUCAUUCAGCUAGAGCCGCUGGAAGUAAGUCAGGAUGUUAGCUAUGUCGAAGAACCAGUGAAUAUUUUUUAUCGACAGGAUAAAGUGUUGAGGAACAAGGUUAUCUCGUUGGUGAAGGUGUUGUGGAGGAACCACGCUAUUGAGGAAGCGACGUAGGAAACGGAAGACCUGAUGAGGAGUCAGUAUCCGUUUUUAUUUGCUUAAGGUUGUAAUUUCGGGGACGAAAUUUUUAUAAGGGGGUAGAUUGUAACACUCACCCCCAUUUAUAAAAUAUAUUUAUGUAAUUAUCCACUAAAUUUUAUAAAUCUAUCAUUUUGGUCCUAUUUUGACUACCUUAUCAAGAUCUAAAAGUUGGAUUCUUUUUCUUUCUCAAGCUGCCACAUGGCAGCACCCCAAUCACCCUCUCAUUUCUCUUUAUGCCCCCCCCCCCGGUGACCCCCAUCUUCUUCUUCCUUCUGUCUAUCCCUUCUCUCCCUCUUGGAUCUCUCAUUUCUCUCCCUUUCUUCAUUGAAAUCUCAGACGCGCACACACCCACGGCGACACAACAAUUUCUCGGAAGCCAUCAUCGUCAUCAAUUUCUCAUCUUUCUCUCUCUCUCUCUUUCCCAUGCUGCAAUGACAGAAACCCGGAAAGAAACUCCAGCGAGAUUUUUCUAUUCUCCGGUUAGGUAAGCUUUGAUUUCCCUCUAUUUCAUCCUAGAAUCUUGUGAGAAUGAGUUUUAAGUUGGUUUUAUUUCAUUUUUGUUGAGGUUUUAGGACGGAAUCAACGCGGGUGUAGGCACACCCAUCUCUGGCGAACCGUGGGUGUCGAGGGAAGUUUUGGCCAUCUCCGACCAUUCCAAGGCGAAAGGAAGGUAUAAAAACACUCCCCUCGUCUUGUACUUCAUUUUGGUACCUAGAUCGGGGUCUAUGGUUGUAGUUUGUGGUCGGCCAGAGCUGUAAAAGCUCCGGCGUUCUUCUCUGUCGACGCUAGGCCUUCAGGCCGUUUCUAGGACAAGCGGGCCUUAGGCCCGUGGUGAACCUAAGCCCUUUUUGGGCCAUUCUAGAACUUGGGCUUCAAGCCCGUUCGGUCCAUAUCCCAUAUUUUAAUAUUCUGUUAUUUAUAUUUUUGUUAGUUAUUUGUUAAAACCCAAAAGGCCUUCGGGCCGUGCCACUCAGGGCUUGAGGCCAAUUGACCCAACCCAAAACCUUUUUAGGUUUUAAUCAAUUUCUGUUUUAGAAAUAAAGGCCUUAGGCCAUUUUAUUGGGCUUUCAGCCCUUUCCCAAACCCAUUAACCUUUAAUUUAAACCCAAAACCCUUAUGGCCCAUUCGGCCCAACCCAAUCCAAAGCCCAGUCUGACUUUGACCCUUUGACCAGUUGACUCUGACUGUUGACUCGGUCAACGAUCAGCGUUGACUCGAUCAACGGUCAGAGUUGACUUUAAUUUUUUACUUUGAUUGAUCAAUGGUCAACGUUGACUUUUUAGUUGACUUUUCGUCCAGGACCUCUCCUAGGCUAAUUUCGACGUCUUAGACCUGUUUUUGAAGUCUGUUUUCCCAAAUUCAAUCGUUUGAAUAGAGUUUGACUAAAGGUACUCCUUUAUGUGAAUGGGUGCAAUUAUUAACGGUGAUUCCGUUAUACUUUUUGGUACAGCUUUGCACCAUCGGUGUACGGUGAGUGGACCCCUUCAAAAGCAUUUUAAUAAUAGAAAUGCAUACAUGAAAAGCAUGAUUUAAUAAUUAUGUUUUAUGAAAUGUUGUGAGAUAACAUGCUUAUAGAGGCUAGAUUGAAUUAUUACUAUUUUUCCUAUAACCCAUGUUCUUAUAGAAUAUCCGAUAGAUGACGAUAUGAUAUUUAGAACAUGUUUAGAACACCUCUUUGUAGUAUAGAUGAUGAAUGACUUUAUAUUAUGAAGUUGUUUUUCAAUAUAUAUAUAUUCAAUGGUUUUGUACUUACCUAGUGGUCCUUUCCGCUACGGGACGUAGGGAUAUAUUCUGGUCCGUCCCGAGCGACGGUUUGGUGUUGGCAUAAGGCUUGGAGUGUGUUUCCUUUAGCUAUUUAGCACAGGGACGGGGAGCCGGCAUGGGGCCUGAAGGUUAUCGGACAAAUCACUAGUGUUUAUUACUUAUACAAGUUAUGAAUUUGAGAUACUGCACAUCAUGCUAGGUUUCGGAAAACCUAUGUUUUUCAUUAUAUAUGUGUUUUCAUAAACCUGGAGGUUAGUAUGUUGAUAAUUGUUUUGUUAUAUUUAUAUCAAAUUGGUCCACUCACGUUUGUUUUGCACCCCAUUCAGGACCUACGAACGAGGAUUACGAUUUAAGCUACGAGGCAUUUCCCUACCAGUGAUUCAGUGUUAUAUUUCCUCUGCUUCGACACUUAUUGUAAUAUAGCACAUCUCUAUCUUAUAUUUUGUUUGUACUCUGUAAUAGACGUAUGCUCUGAACUUAUGUGUAUGACCAUAAUUUUAUUAAUUAGCAGUUGAACUUUUGUAUUAUGUUACUAGUUCCUUUUGCCUGUUUUAGCUUAUUUAUGAGCUUUUACUUAAAUUAAAUGGCUUUCGUCACCUUUCAGAUGUUGGUCAGCACGUAACCAUCCCGAUGUCCCGAGGACAUCGGGAUUGGGGCGUGUCAAUUUGUAAACAUUGAAGCGCUAUGUUCGUAAUAAGGGUCGUCCUAAAGGUUCUAUUGCUGAAGCAUAUUUGGUGGAUGAAUGCUUGUCCUUCUAUUCCAUGUAUCUUAGAGAUGUCGAGUCUCGUCGCACCCGUAAAGGCCGAAAUGAAGAUGGUAUUGGACGUGGAGUGUCUAGUGGGUUAUCAAUUUUGACUCCAAAUGAUGUCAUAUGGGUUCAGGAGAAAAUGUGGAGCUCGAUCUAAAAGUUCUUGAUCAGUGCCAUAGAUACAUUCUAAAGAAUUGUGAUGAAGUUCACCCAUUUAGAAAGUAAGAACAUUUAAUCUUAUGUCUUAAUGUUUUAUUGGUUUUCAUAACUUUGAAAAAUUAAUUAUCUAAAUUUGGACAUAAAUGCCCAGGCAACAUGAGGAAUUCUUGAAAAUGAACAUCGUCGAAAAGGUUAACGAUGCGACAAAUUCAGGAGCUAAGCAAGAAAGAAUUUCCAGAAUGGUUCAAGUUACAUGUGAGUUGAUACAACAAUUACAUUAUUUAUUUAUAUUUUUACAUUUUAAUUAUAACAUGAUUAUAGUUAACAUGUCAACUUUUAUCAUCAUUUUGAUUACAGAUGAAUUCAAGAUGUCAUCUUAAUGACACGUUGAUAUCUCAAGACUUGCAUUGGCUAGCUAAUUAUCCUAGCAGGGUUGUGAGUAGAUAUAAAAGUCACAUUGUUCAUGGGUUCAGAUUUCAUAUAAAAUAUGUGGAUGACAAGCAUAAGAAUCAAAAUUGUGGUGUCUUUGUACCUGCAAAUGUUCCUGGUGCAAUUAGGCAAGUGAAUUGUUAUGGCAGAUUUGUAGAUAUGUUCGAGGUUAAAUAUUGUGGUCAUGCUGAGCCAGGAGAUAGGGGUCGAGCUGUGAUGUUAUUUAAGUGCGAAUGGGUUAAUAGUGAAAGUCCACAAGGAAUGAAGACUAAUCAAUAUGGAUUUACUAUGGUGAACUUCAAUCGAUUAGGAUUUAAAGAGGAUUCUUUCAUAUUAACAUCACAAGCAUUACAAGCAUUUUACGUCGAUGACACAAUUGAAAAAGAUUGGCACAUAGUUGUUCGAACGCAGUCAAGGGAUUUGUUUGACGUAUUAGAGGAUAGUGAUGCAAUUGAAGAUUAUGCGGUACCAAAUUUGGAUGAUCAGAUACUUGACCAUGAAAAUUUCCAUACAAGUGUUGGCGUGGAAAAGACUCCUUUUCAUGAAUCAUUACCGUUGCCUACCCAGUUCGCUAGUAAUGCCAAUGCCGACGACGACACGACAGAUGAUGACAUAGAAUAAUAUAUUAAGUGUUUUAUGUGUUUUAAGUAGUAAUUAGACAAUAUUUUUGUUUUCUAUUACGUAUAUGGUUUAAGUUCAAUUUUAUUUAUUAAAAUCUUAAAAUGUUAUACGAGAUAACAAAAAAAAAAAAAAAAAAAAACUCGAUAUUUAUUUUUUAUGGGUUAAACAUCUGUCUCCCGUAGCGCCGCACUUCCCUCUCCGUUUCUCCUCUUCCCUCCUGCCCUUGCGAACUCAAAACGUUAAUCGUAUUUGCAUACUCAACUUGAACAAACUGGAAACAAAACAUUCCUGGAUUAUCUGAUCUAUGGCAAAAGAUUUUAGUUUCUUGUAUGCAAGUAUGCGCACUGUUUUGAAUGUUCAAGUAUACUAGUUUAACAACAAAAGGAUAAAAAAAAUGCACUCCUCUACCUCCCCAAUCUUACAAAAAUCCAAAUCAAAUGCGGCUAUAGUUCUCUCUACGGUUCCUAUCUUGGUCUAAUUGUCGGUACGACUCCGCUAACAAGGUCACUGCCAGAGACGUCUAUAGAGACGUAAGGAUGCCUCGCUGCAUUGGAUGAGGGUGGAAGAGUCACCACCUUUCCACCACUAGUGCUCGUCACUGAUUCCGAUGUUCUGCUGUCAGACUCCGGCAUCAUAAACCAUAUGUUCUCGAGUUCCCGAACAACCUCCGCCAUUGAGGGUCUCGCGUCUGUCUCCUCUUUGCAACACUUGAGAGCCAAACUCAAGAACUUUUCCACACACUCGGAAGGAUAAGACCCCAUUCUUCCAUCAAUAACUGAGAAGAUCAUACCGGAUUGGAAUGCAAUGUUUACCUGAAGUGCAAAAGAACUUGUAAAUAACACUAAACUGGUGCAUCCAGUCGAUCACAAGGAUUAAUUAGCGUCAACCAUAAGUGGUCUUGACUAAGACGUUAUAUCCUUACAUGCAAAGCAUAGAAGAUGGUCUACAUGUAUAGUGUUAUCCAAAACACAGAGUCUGUAAUUAGGUUCGAGUAAUUACCUCUCGAACAAUGUUUUUGCCAUGUGAGAUUGGCUGCAUGCCUGUUAAGAGCUCCAAAAACACAACACCAAGGCUAUAAACAUCGCUCUUAUCCGUUAGCUUAUGAGUUAAGAAGUACUCCGGAUCAAGGUAACCCUGAAAAAUCAAUUCAAAUAAUAAGAGAGAUUUUAAUCUGUGUAGCUAUUAGUUAAGUACAAUGCUUAUGAGUCUUACCGGUGUCCCCUUCACUACUGUGGAUACAUGAGCAGGCACAGUCCCUUCAAAAUCUGGAACCGGGGCAAGACGGGAAAGGCCAAAAUCAGCAACCUUUGCCAUGAACUUAGAGUCCAAUAAUAUAUUGGUGGCCUUGAUAUCUCGAUGAAAUAUCGGAGGGUUGGCUUCUGUAUGGAGGUAUAGGAUGCCCUUGGCUGAUCCCUGAGCAAUUCUUAAUCUCAUCUCAAAACCCAGUGGUUCUUUAGACCUAGCUGCUGAGACACUGAUCAAUUAUAAAGCUUGUCGAAUGGCAUGUUAACCGAAAUCCCUAUUGUAAAUUCUUAAUCAAACGUUUACGAGCGGUAAAUUCCUCUACCGAAAUUCAGACAGAGAUGAAUUAAGAACCAAAGACAGUAAAACAAGAGUAUUAGGUUUACCAGAAAGGUGAUCCCUUAGAGUUCCAUUGGACAUAAACUCAUAAACCAACAUCUGCACGCACAAAAAUAACACACGUCAAGCUUUUCCCAAGUAAAAUUGUUGGUCCGACAUAACAAAAGAGGGCAAGAAGAGGAGAAAAAUGUAGCAGAACUACAUUCAGAAAGGAUAAGCAAAUGUACCUGUUCCCCUUCUUCAUCACAAUACCCGACUAAGGACACGAGAUUCCUAUGAUGUAAGGGUGACAAUAAUUCUAUUUCUGUUAGAAACUCCUUCUCGCCCUGUAAUGAUCCCUCUUGUGCACGUUUUAUGGCCACAACGGUUCCGUCAGCCAGGAUGCCUUUAUAAACAUUUCCAUAACCUCCUUGUCCAACUUGAGCAGAGCUGUUAAAGUUGUUUGUAGCCGCGGCCAUUUCUCUAAAAGUAAAAUCCUUGACACCUUCAAUUUUUAUGGAGCUCUUGGUUGCUGCAUAUAAACGAAGGUGCACUGUUAAAAGUGAAAUUAGUUGGACCAAGAGCUGAUGCACCUGUUCAAUCUUGUUAAAUUCAAUUGGGUGCGGGGCUUCUCAGGGUUCCUAACUCGGGAGAAGCCCCAUGGAAAUGAUCAUUUAUACAAAUAUGUCUUUUGCCUUAUGAUAGUAAGACACUCACUACGACGUCUUCUUGAAAUUGCAUGGCGAUCCUUCAAAUGCUUUCUCAAUAUAAGAAGAGAAACAAUUGCAGAUACUGUAACGGCACCAGCAAUAGUCCCUAGUAUGAUGCCAGCCAGAGCACCUUUGCCUAGACCGGACUUUGAAGAGGAGGCAACCACUGUGACAUCAAGAAGAGCCGUGAGAUCAACAAAUCAAAAUCAACACACGAUUUCACAUCUAGAAAAAACAAGGCUUUUGAGACAUACCAUCCUUGUAAGGAUCCAGUAGAAUGAAGUCGAGAAGUUCAUAGGGUCCAAAUAGGCCACUGUCAGGAAUUGCCCAUGAUGCGAACAUAUUCAUGAUUCUUUUAACUUCAGUUCUAUUGAAAGUAUGGGAAUUAUUGGCAUUUUCAACAUAUACAGGAAAAAGCUUCAGAGAAAUUCUCAGUCGAGGUCCGUUUUCCCAUACAAAUGAAGUAAUGUCCAGCUGAUCGAGAUCUAAUUUGAUACCAGAAGUAAGAUACUGCUCAAAUGUACUUUCGUAAGGGCGAAAAUCUGUGAAUGCGGGACUUUUCAACCGAAUGUCAACAAUUAGAGG